UACGGAGGGUGCAAGCGUUAUCCGGAUUCACUGGGUUUAAAGGGUGCGUAGGUGGGUUGGUAAGUCAGUGGUGAAAUCCCCGAGCUUAACUUGGGAACUGCCAUUGAUACUAUCAGUCUUGAAUAUUGUGGAGGUUAGCGGAAUAUGUCAUGUAGCGGUGAAAUGCUUAGAUAUGACAUAGAACACCAAUUGCGAAGGCGGCUGGCUACGCAUAUAUUGACACUGAGGCACGAAAGCGUGGGGAUCAAACAGG
This 253-nucleotide ribosomal RNA is filed under the name uncultured bacterium. RNAcentral's name for it is "partial 16S ribosomal RNA". It matches the Rfam family "Bacterial small subunit ribosomal RNA", at positions 524 to 776 of the family's 1533-position model. The record is from RNAcentral.